Lolium perenne is the source of this 3573-nucleotide RNA transcript. RefSeq lists it as uncharacterized. Lineage: Eukaryota; Viridiplantae; Streptophyta; Magnoliopsida; Poales; Poaceae. The record is from RefSeq and is a predicted model, not a curated record.
GUUUUGGCCGAACCGUCGCAAACGACAGGCUCCCUCCGUCGCUUCCAAAGACCUGAGUUUUAGCUUCACUCCACAGCCACCGCCGCCAUGGCCAUCACCCCACCUCUCUUCCUCCUCUAGCCUCGCGUCUACCCCGAAUGGCGGGCGCCUCCACCACCACCUCCCUCCUCCUCGCGCCACCCCGCUUUUCCUACCAGAUCGCCGGCCGCCUACCCGUCCCCGCCCCCAGAAUCCGUCCCCGGCGGCGCUUCGCGGCUGCCCGCGGCGACUUCUCCCUCGUACCUUCCUGGCAGCUCCGCGCGCCGCCCCGUCGCCGGAACGUGCUGCGCGACAAGGCCUCGCCGCCGCUCGCGGACCACCAGGUUCGUCCUCCCAACCACGAGGCCCUCGAUCCCCAUCAUGACCAGUCGAACACGGACCGUCCUCCAGUUGAUGCUACUGGCGGACCACAAUCCUCUUUCUCAGACGAUCCAGCACUACCGCCGGAUCUCGGUAACAGAUUGGGGAAGAAUUUCGACCGUCUGGAUGCUGGCCGAAGUGGGGAUGCAGUGGCCGAGUCCAACUUGAAUGACGGUCAGAAGGGUUUGGGUCGGGAUGCAGAGGAGGGCCAUUUCUGCGGCACCGGGACUCGUCCCGUGUUCAGCGUAUACGGCGACCCGGAUGGCACCGCGGUGGUGCGCGUUGAGGUGAACGAGGAUGGAAUCGCUAGCAGAAGCGAGGCUGCGGAUGGAGAAGUGAGCGCCGAUUCGCAGUCCAUACUGUCCCGCGCAAGAGUAAUGGCCAGGGAGUUUGAACGUGAGGUUCCGAGGAACAGCUCACUGGUUCGGUUUGUUGCCACCGAGAGGAAGGAGGAGUCGUGUGUUGCGGAUGCCGAGGUUUCGGUUGGGCAGCGGGAUGGGGCUCCUUUGAUGGCUGUUGCGUGGAGCGGUUUCGCAGCGUUUUGCGGCGUGUGCGUCUUGCUCGUUGCGUCGAAGGUGGUUUGGAGGAACGUGAAGGCGCGUUUGUCUGGAAAUGUGUUUCGUGUGCCUAUACCUUGGGUGGAAGAUGGUCGGUUGGACGAUGGUAACAUCAAGGUAUUCAGUGAUGUGCAUGUGUUUCCAGGGGAUUUGUUGGGGAGACCACGAUUGCAGAGGGUUGAAUUGAUGAGUAACCUCAAAAAGGCAAAAGCAUCGAGAGAACGGUUUUCCUUCAGAAAUGUAUUUAGUUGCAAUACUGUUGCCAAUGAUGUCUAUGCAAGUAUGAUGGAGUUCGGAAGAAUGGUAACUGAUGUGAACACACUAGAAGAAGGAAGCCUUGGCCGAAGAAAUGCGGGAAAGAAUAGUUUGGUUGUCUUCCCACCCUCAGUACUUGCCGAUGUUCACACACUAGAAGAAGGAAGUGUUAGCCAAAGGAAUGCAGGAAAGGUUGCCAUUGAGGAAGGAAUUUCAGCAAGUUAUGCUAGACAAUCUGUAUAUCAGGAUGAUGUGUCGGAGUUAGACAGUAAUGAAUUACGUGAUAUCAAUUUGUCAAACGAUAUUAUUGACGAAAGUGUGGAGCAGUCUGUGGAUUUAAAAAAUGUAGCAUCAACCGCAGACAGUAUCGUCAAAAGUCAGUAUAAUGUUGGAGAAAUUGAACAGCCUGAGCGCAGGUAUAAUGAUGAGGAGGACACAACCGAGGCAAAGAAUAGAACUUCUGUGUUAUAUGCAACAGAAAAAGAAGCACAUAUUUGUUCUGCAGAUGAUCAUAAUGCUGGUCCUAAUGGCAUCGAUACCCUAUCAGCUGAGUUUGAAAGAAAAGAACAAUUUACAGAGAUUGUUGUUAGUAGUAUUCAAGAAUUAAAAUUAUCUGUGUCUUUCAGUGGUGACAAACAGAUGGUUUAUAAAAAUGGUAAUGCUCACCAGAUCAGCAAUAAUGUCGUUCCAGAAACAGCUGAUGAUUUUUCACCUAAUCUCUUAAACAUCACAUCAUCUGAGUUGAAACACAACGGAGCAUACCUGGCCAAUGGUGAAAAUGAUGUCAGUUGCAUGCAAGUUGAAGCACCCACAGCCUUUCCAAGUGAUGCUAAGACUGCUAACUGUGAUGGGUUUGCUCAUUGUGUAAGCAUCAAAAGUAAAGAAGCAUUUGAAAAUCUAGUAAUGACCGAUAUAUCUACUAUGAAAUCACCCCAGAGAAUCAGGGAAGAGCAUGUGGAUUUGAUGUCAGAUAAUAUGCAAGAACCAUACAACCACGAUGGCAAACAGAUAAUUUAUGCAAAUGAGAAGGACCAUAAGAUAAACGUCUUACACAAUGAAACAGAGACUAGUUCGGAAACAUAUCCCAUAGAGACACUCGAUAAAGCUAGUAUGUCUUCAUCAUAUUCCAUACAAGAAGAAGCAGUUCAACACAAAGAUGCAAAAGUUUCAAAACCAGAGAAGCAAGAGAAAAUCACUUCCUCCAACAUAGAAGCUACAGCAUAUCUUAAAAAAGAUAAAGGCGAACUACAGAAAGAAACGUGCAGCGAUAAGGUACCUGAAAUAAUGCUGCUAGCGGAAGAUGCACCUGGAACUGGUAUUGUGGUCGGUUUAUCAAAUGUUGUACAAAAAACUAAAAGAGUAGCACGCAAACGGCUGAAGAAAGUGCAAAGUAAUCAGGGAGCUGCAGAACAAGAUAUUGUUCACAAUAGCAGCAUGGUUGAUCAGGAAAGCAGUAGCCAGAAUGUUAAAACGACAAGAAGAAAAAAUCAGACAAAAGCAUUUGGCACCCCAGGAUCUCAAACAAGAGAAGAAAUUCCAGAAAUAGCUCUCAUGGCAAGUUUUCCUGAUGAUGCACCAAAAGCUGAAAACACGCAGCCUCUUGGUGAGGAAGGUUCGUCUGCUGGAACACUAUCUUCAAAGGAUAUUUUUAGGGGAUCUCAGUCAAGUAGGUUAAUUGCCCGUUCGAUGAGGAAGGAAGAGUUAAAGCUCAACUUUCAAACUUCUGAAAGGGUGGAGGCAACAGCGCCAGAAACUAAAACUAAUAUGCAUGGUUAUAAUGUCGUGCGUGAGAGAUCAACUGAUGUUAACAAAUUAAAGCCAAAGAUGGGUGUAGCUGCUGCCAAGAAAUCCACAAAAAGAAAGUCAUUAACGAUGCGUACUACCAAGUCGAGUAAUCCAGUGUCAAAUAGAGACUCAGAGGAACCCACUGGUGACUGAUGUGCCAGGAGAUUUAUCAAGGGUUUCAAGUAAAUUCCUCUUCUUCUCCUUCAUGCAUAGGCAUUAAGGCAGUUUCUGGAGAGUUGCACCCAGUUAAUGUACAACAAAUUUCCUGGCGAGGAAUAGUGGCAAUAUUUGCACUGCAGGCAUCAGCUGAACAUAACUUCUCUCGUAAAUCUGAGCAACGGGUUCAUCUUUCUUGUCGCUGAAAGGGUGUUGAGCUAACCAGGCUGUAUGGAAGAGCUUGAUCUGACAGCAGCUCUUCAAGAUCUUCAGGGGUGUACUUCAUGAGCUUUGGAGCCUUGUUUUUGUUGUUCUCAAGGUUAAAUAUUUGCAGCGUUGGUAGUCUAGAAAAGAUUGGGAUUUUGUUGCUCUUUACAUGUAAACAAUGCAUGACAGAUUCCCAAGAAAUGUUGAUAAACCA